RNAcentral lists this ribosomal RNA (433 nucleotides) under uncultured bacterium. RNAcentral's name for it is "partial 16S ribosomal RNA". It matches the Rfam family "Bacterial small subunit ribosomal RNA", at positions 29 to 507 of the family's 1533-position model. The record is from RNAcentral.
AACGAACGCUGGCGGCAUGCCUAACACAUGCAAGUCGAACGAGACCUUCGGGUCUAUUGGCGCACGGGUGCUUAACGCGUGGGAACCUGCCCUUAGGUUCGGAAUAACUCCCCGAAAGGUGUGCUAAUACCGGAUAAUGUCUUCGGACCAAAGAUUUAUCGCCUUUGGAUGGGCCCGCGUUGGAUUAGCUAGUUGGUAGGGUAAAAGCCUACCAAUGCGACGAUCCAUAGCUGGUCUGAGAGGAUGAUCCGCCACACUGGGACUGAGACACGGCCCAGACUCCUACGGGAGGCAGCAGUGGGGAAUAUUGGACAAUGGGGGAAAGCCUGAUCCAGCAAUGCCGCGUGAGUGAUGAAGGCCUUAGGGUUGUAAAGCUCUUUUACCCGGGAUGAUAAUGACAGUACCGGGAGAAUAAGCUCCGGCUAACUACGUG